AAGGUCUUCGUAUAUGUAAUUUGAUGUUUGCUUUGAGUACUUAUGUUUUUGGUUAUGUUAUAUGUAUGGUUUCAAAUUUUGUCAACCACUCAUUCUAACAUUGGUUUUGUAUGGUCCAAACAAUUCUACUUAGAUUUGGCUUAUAUGGACCAGUCAUGUAGUCUUGGUACUAACCAAAUGUGCAGAUCAAUAUAUAUAUAAAAAAUGGCCAUACAAAAGAAAGAUCAUGAAGUUGACAAGUUCACAUUAAACAUCGAUAACACAUUCACGAGGUUACAAAGGUAAAGAGAUUACGAAACAAAUACAUAUGAUAAUUACUGUCCGGGGGCAAAGUUAGUGGCGUAAGACCAGGCGUUGUUAGCCACAGGAUCAGCCAAGUGAUCAAACAAGUUCUCAAUGGGACCUUUACCAGUAACAAUGGCUUGGACAAAGAAUCCAAACAUGGAGAACAUAGCAAGACGACCGUUCUUGAGCUCCUUCACCUUCAACUCAGAGAAGGCUUCUGGAUCCUCUGCCAAGUUCAAUGGGUCGAAAGCACCUCCGGGGUAAAGUGGGUCAAGACCUUCUCCGAGUGGUCCACCUCCGAUUCUGUAGCCUUCGAUGAAUCCCAUGAGCACAACUUGACAAGCCCAGAUGGCUAAGAUGCUUUGCGCGUGGAUCAAGUUAGGGUUUCCUAGGUAAUCAAGACCUCCUUCUGAGAAGAUCUGAGAACCUGCCUUGAACCAUACGGCUUCUCCGAAUUUAACACCGUUCUUGGAGAGAAUCUCAGGGAAUGUGCAUCCAAGAGCUCCCAACAUAGCCCAUCUGCUGUGGAUCACUUCAAGCUCACGGUUCUUAGCGAAUGUCUCAGGGUCAGCCGAGAGUCCAGCGGUGUCCCAGCCGUAGUCUCCUGGGUACUCUCCGGUUAGGUAAGAUGGUGUGUUCUCCGAGAAUGGACCCAAGUACUUGGGACGGUCUGGUCCAUACCUGUUACAACAUCAGAUCGUUGGUAUUUAGACAGAUCUGAAGAUUUAAGGAUGAAACAAAUAAGAGGAAGAGAGAUCAGAU
Molecule: long non-coding RNA, 1047 nt
Filed under: Capsella grandiflora
Lineage: Eukaryota; Viridiplantae; Streptophyta; Magnoliopsida; Brassicales; Brassicaceae
Description: long non-coding RNA (CGRA_LNC001582)
Source: RNAcentral